GCAUAAGGAUGAGAAGCUUCGACUAAGGUUCGAUUCGAGCGCAGCGAGAAAGCGUUGCCGCAGGCAACGACCCGAAGGGCGAAGCGCGCAGCGCUGAGUCAUCCUUCCCCCACCACCA
RNAcentral lists this small RNA (118 nucleotides) under Salmonella enterica subsp. enterica serovar Typhimurium. RNAcentral describes it as "partial RtT sRNA". It matches the Rfam family "RtT RNA". Rfam says of the family: This family represents a bacterial cis-regulatory element known as RtT RNA. The record is from RNAcentral. Lineage: Bacteria; Pseudomonadati; Pseudomonadota; Gammaproteobacteria; Enterobacterales; Enterobacteriaceae.